UCAUAUUGAUUUUUCUAUUUUCAAUGAUGAAGUGGCACAUAUGUUGCUCAUUUGCAUUUAGUGGCAGCUUUUAUACAAAGGAUCUGAGAAGCAAAAUUGGGCCUAUUUCUCUUUAUGUCACCAGAUGAAUGAGAUUUUCAUGCUUGUGAUGAAGUGACUAGUUUGUGGCUAUGUGCCUCCUUUCUUGUUCAUGAUUGAGUUUGUGAUUUGUUUCCUAAAGAAAUGAAGAUACUGUGUGUCAUUUGUUUCUUAUUGGUUCCUUCACCUAGAAAAGCCUGAUUUAUUGUUUUCUCUUUUUAAGACUUCUCAAGGACUCAAGCUUAUCACAAUGAUUGAGUUUGUGAUUUGUUCCCUAAAGAAAUGAAGAUACUGAGUGUCAUUUGUUUCUUAUUGGUUCCUUCACCUAGAAAAGCCUAAUUUACUAUUUUCUCUUUUUAAGACUUCUC
RNAcentral lists this long non-coding RNA (446 nucleotides) under Nicotiana benthamiana. RNAcentral's name for it is "long non-coding RNA (NBEN_LNC034881)". Lineage: Eukaryota; Viridiplantae; Streptophyta; Magnoliopsida; Solanales; Solanaceae. The record is from RNAcentral.